Molecule: ribosomal RNA, 475 nt
Filed under: uncultured bacterium
Lineage: Bacteria
Description: partial 16S ribosomal RNA
Rfam family: Bacterial small subunit ribosomal RNA
Source: RNAcentral
GGUGAACGCUGGCGGCGUGCUUAAGACAUGCAAGUCGAACGCAGUCUUCGGACUGAGUGGCGCACGGGUGAGUAACACGUAACUGACCUACCCCCAAGUCGCGGAUAACUGGCCAAAAGGUCAGCUAAUACGUGAUGUGAUGUCCCCUUUCUGGGGGGCCAUUAAAGGUUUACUGCUUGGGGAUGGGGUUGCGUUCCAUCAGCUAGUUGGCGGGGUAAAGGCCCACCAAGGCAACGACGGAUAGCCGGCCUGAGAGGGUGGCCGGCCACAGGGGCACUGAGACGCGGGUCCCACUCCUACGGGAGGCAGCAGUUAGGAAUCUUUCACAAUGGGCGAAAGCCUGAUGGAGCGACGCCGCGUGAGGGAUGAAGGUUCUCGGAUCGUAAACCUCUGAAUCAGGGACGAAAGACGCGUAAGCGGGAUGACGGUACCUGAGUAAUAGCACCGGCUAACUCCGUGCCAGCAGCCGCCGUAA